This 104-nucleotide unclassified non-coding RNA is filed under the name Bursaphelenchus xylophilus (pine wood nematode). RNAcentral's name for it is "partial internal transcribed space 1". The record is from RNAcentral. Lineage: Eukaryota; Metazoa; Nematoda; Chromadorea; Rhabditida; Aphelenchoididae.
GCAAACUGCUUGCCGAUUCGUUCUGGCGAGCGUAGGAUUGAAAAGCCCGAGAGGCUGCCCUGACAAAACAUUCAUUUUACAUUUAUUUUGUUGGAAAAGAGCUU